Molecule: long non-coding RNA, 389 nt
Filed under: Equus asinus (donkey)
Lineage: Eukaryota; Metazoa; Chordata; Mammalia; Perissodactyla; Equidae
Description: lncRNA (ENSEASG00005026562.1)
Source: RNAcentral
CCAGUCCAUGUCUGCCUCAUAGUGUAUCCUUGCCUUCCUUCAUCUAGCUUUAUUGAGAGCAGCCUCCUAGCUCAGCCACAGUCUUAUGCUUUGGGUUUCUGGGGUUGGGCUAGGCUGGGCAGAGCUUUGGAAGAAAGAGGAGGUGGAGACUCAGCCUUUGCUUGCAUCCUCUGGGAGCUUCCAGACCACCAGGGGAGGAGUGUAAGCGCCCCCCUGAAGCCUUUGGCUUUGAGCAGGCUACCCGGGAAUACACUCUGCAGAGCUUUGGCGAGAUGGCUGACUCCUUUAAAGCCGAUUACUUCAACAUGCCUGUGCACGUAGAUGGUACCCACAGAACUUGUGGAGAAGGAGUUCUGGCGGCUAGUGAAUAGCAUUGAGGAGGAUGUGAC